GGAAGGAUCAUUAACACGUCCCAAUACCUUUAAACAUGUGCGAACUUGUGCCGGUCGAGAGCGUCUCCGUUGGUUCAGAGACACUCGAUCGCGUUAAAUAUAACAAACCCCAUUUUAAACCACUUAACCUUAACAGUUUGACAGUCUAAACGAAUUGAACAAGUACUGGAAGGUGCUUGGCAAAACGCUUCAAAUACAACUUUUAGCAACGGAUAUCUUGGUUCUCGCAACGAUGAAGAACGCAGCGAAAUGCGAUACGUAAUGCGAAUUGCAGAAUUCAGUGAAUCAUCGAAUCUUUGAACGCAAAUUGCGCUUUCGGGCAUCUGCUCGGAAGCAUGCCUCUUUGAGUAUCGGUUCUUCCUCACUUUCAGGCUUGCUUGAAGGUGUAAAAAUCCAUUGAGUCGUCCUGCUUCUCUGAAGUGGGUCACUUUAAAUAUCCAACUUGGUGUUGGUUGCAGGCUGGUUGUGCUUGCUUUGCAAGUUUGCAACACAUUGAGGUGGUCUGACUACUGAUAAUGUGAAGUGAGCGAGUAAAGCUCGGGUGCAAAGGGCUUGUGGUCGAUGUCAUACCCAUACUUUCUGAUCUCAAAUGAGGCAAGAGGACCCGCUGAAUUUAAGCAUAUAAAUAAGCGGAGGAAAAGAAACUAACAAGGAUUCCCCUAGUAACGGCGAGUGAAGCGGGAAGAGCUCAAUCUGAAAAUUGGAGGGCCUUGGGCUCUCUGAAUUGUAGUCUAAAGAACUGAUGGCAGUGUGUGGCCCGGACCUAAGUCCGUUGGAAGACGGCGUCAUAGAGGGUGAGAACCCCGUCUAUGGUUCGGAGACCGCCACGUACGUCAUUAGUUUUUCGAGUCGGGUUGUUUGGGAAUGCAGCCCAAAAUGGGUGGUAAAUUCCAUCUAAAGCUAAAUACUUGCGAGAGACCGAUAGCGAACAAGUACCGUGAGGGAAAGAUGAAAAGAACUUUGAAAAGAGAGUUAAAAAGUGCUUGAAAUUGCUAAAAGGGAAGCAAUGGAAACCAGUAGUCGUGGUGUACUCAUUUUCCUGUUUGAGCGGUGGACUGGGUGGUGUCGGUGAGUUCAAAAGACCACUGGCGCUGUUCAGCUCUGCUGUUCGGGCAGUCCCUAUGGGUAUGCUCGUGUCAAUCCUGCUUCGGAAAUAAUUCACAGGAUAUGCGCCUGGAGGAAGGUAGCAGGGAUCUGUGUACUCAGUGAACUGUGUUAUAGCCUCUGGGACCGUGCUGUGCAACUGGAGCGGCGAGUCUUGCCUCUCGUUAGGUGAGCUCCCUGCAGCGUAAGCCGGUGGGUGCUGUUUGUCAGGCGGUGCUGGGACAACAAAGUUGUGCUAGUGCUGUAACUUACCCUGGUGGACACCGUUCGCUGGCUGAGUUGUGGGCAUUGACGUAAAUGGUUUUCACUGACCCGUCUUGAAACACGGACCAAGGAGUCUGACAUAUAUGCGAGUAUUUGGGUGCUUGAAACCCUGAUGCGUAAUGAAAGUGAAGGCAGGCAUUGGUCUGCUGAGGUGGGAUUCCAACCCCUCCGGGGAUUUAUCGUUGGAAGCACCAUCGACCGAUCGUUCACUUGUGGAGGAUUUGAGUAAGAGCAUAUCUGUUGGGACCCGAAAGAUGGUGAACUAUGCCUGGACAGGGCGAAGCCAGGGGAAACUCUGGUGGAGGCUCGUAGCGAUACUGACGUGCAAAUCGUUCGUCUGAUCUGGGUAUAGGGGCGAAAGACUAAUCGAACCAUCUAGUAGCUGGUUCCCUC
Molecule: unclassified non-coding RNA, 1761 nt
Filed under: uncultured fungus
Lineage: Eukaryota; Fungi
Description: sequence contains 18S rRNA gene, ITS1, 5.8S rRNA gene, ITS2, 28S rRNA gene
Rfam family: Eukaryotic large subunit ribosomal RNA (bases 581-1761)
Source: RNAcentral